This 1120-nucleotide ribosomal RNA is filed under the name uncultured organism. RNAcentral describes it as "bacterial SSU rRNA". It matches the Rfam family "Bacterial small subunit ribosomal RNA", at positions 243 to 1366 of the family's 1533-position model. The record is from RNAcentral.
AGCUUGUUGGUGAGGUAACAGCUCACCAAGGCUACGAUGUCUAGGGGGUCUGAGAGGAUGGUCCCCCACACUGGUACUGAGACACGGACCAGACUCCUACGGGAGGCAGCAGUGAGGAAUAUUGGUCAAUGGGCGAAAGCCUGAACCAGCCAUGCCGCGUGAAGGAUGACAGCCCUAUGGGUUGUAAACUUCUUUUGUACGGGAAGAAACGCUUCUACGUGUAGAGGUUUGACGGUACCGUACGAAUAAGCAUCGGCUAACUCCGUGCCAGCAGCCGCGGUAAUACGGAGGAUGCAAGCGUUAUCCGGAUUUAUUGGGUUUAAAGGGUACGUAGGCGGGAGCUUAAGUCAGUGGUGAAAUCCUGCAGCUUAACUGUAGAACUGUCAUUGAUACUGGGCUUCUUGAAUGUAGUUGAGGUAGGCGGAAUGUGUAAUGUAGCGGUGAAAUGCUUAGAUAUUACACAGAACACCGAUUGCGAAGGCAGCUUACUAAACUACGAUUGACGCUGAGGUACGAAAGCGUGGGGAGCGAACAGGAUUAGAUACCCUGGUAGUCCACGCUGUAAACGAUGAUCACUCGUUGUUGGCAAUACACCGUCAGCGACUGAGCGAAAGCAUUAAGUGAUCCACCUGGGGAGUACGACCGCAAGGUUGAAACUCAAAGGAAUUGACGGGGGCCCGCACAAGCGGAGGAACAUGUGGUUUAAUUCGAUGAUACGCGAGGAACCUUACCUGGGCUUAAAUGUAGAACGACGGACCGGGAAACUGGUCUUUCUUCGGACGGUCUGCAAGGUGCUGCAUGGCUGUCGUCAGCUCGUGCCGUGAGGUGUCGGGUUAAGUCCCAUAACGAGCGCAACCCUCAUCAUUAGUUGCCAGCGGGUAAUGCCGGGGACUCUAAUGAAACUGCCGGUGUAAACCGAGAGGAAGGUGGGGAUGACGUCAAGUCAGCACGGCCCUUAUGUCCAGGGCUACACACGUGUUACAAUGGUCGGUACAAAGGGCAGCUACCUGGCGACAGGAUGCUAAUCUCGAAAACCGAUCUCAGUUCGGAUCGAAGUCUGCAACUCGACUUCGUGAAGCUGGAUUCGCUAGUAAUCGCGCAUCAGCCAUGGCGCGGUGAA